This 1027-nucleotide ribosomal RNA is filed under the name Dothiorella thailandica. RNAcentral describes it as "SSU rRNA". It matches the Rfam family "Eukaryotic small subunit ribosomal RNA", at positions 69 to 1105 of the family's 1831-position model. The record is from RNAcentral. Lineage: Eukaryota; Fungi; Ascomycota; Dothideomycetes; Botryosphaeriales; Botryosphaeriaceae.
GCAUCUAUACUGUGAAACUGCGAAUGGCUCAUUAAAUCAGUUAUCGUUUAUUUGAUAGUACCUUACUACUUGGAUAACCGUGGUAAUUCUAGAGCUAAUACAUGCUAAAAACCCCGACUUCGGGAGGGGUGUAUUUAUUAGAUAAAAAACCAAUGCCCUUCGGGGCUCCUUGGUGAUUCAUGAUAACUUAACGAAUCGCAUGGCCUUGCGCCGGCGAUGGUUCAUUCAAAUUUCUGCCCUAUCAACUUUCGAUGGUAGGAUAGUGGCCUACCAUGGUAUCAACGGGUAACGGGGAAUUAGGGUUCUAUUCCGGAGAGGGAGCCUGAGAAACGGCUACCACAUCCAAGGAAGGCAGCAGGCGCGCAAAUUACCCAAUCCCGACACGGGGAGGUAGUGACAAUAAAUACUGAUACAGGGCUCUUUCGGGUCUUGUAAUUGGAAUGAGUACAAUUUAAAUACCUUAACGAGGAACAAUUGGAGGGCAAGUCUGGUGCCAGCAGCCGCGGUAAUUCCAGCUCCAAUAGCGUAUAUUAAAGUUGUUGCAGUUAAAAAGCUCGUAGUUGAACCUUGGGCCUGGCUGGCCGGUCCGCCUCACCGCGUGUACUGGUCCGGCCGGGCCUUUCCUUCUGGGGAUCCGCAUGCCCUUCACUGGGUGUGUCGGGGAACCAGGACUUUUACUUUGAAAAAAUUAGAGUGUUCAAAGCAGGCCUUUGCUCGAAUACAUUAGCAUGGAAUAAUAGAAUAGGACGUGCGGUCCUAUUUUGUUGGUUUCUAGGACCGCCGUAAUGAUUAAUAGGGAUAGUCGGGGGCAUCAGUAUUCAAUUGUCAGAGGUGAAAUUCUUGGAUUUAUUGAAGACUAACUACUGCGAAAGCAUUUGCCAAGGAUGUUUUCAUUAAUCAGUGAACGAAAGUUAGGGGAUCGAAGACGAUCAGAUACCGUCGUAGUCUUAACCGUAAACUAUGCCGACUAGGGAUCGGGCGAUGUUAUUCUUUUGACUCGCUCGGCACCUUACGAGAAAUCAAAGUC